This 331-nucleotide unclassified non-coding RNA is filed under the name soil metagenome. RNAcentral describes it as "partial contains 5.8S ribosomal RNA, internal transcribed spacer 2, and large subunit ribosomal RNA". The stretch from base 1 to 120 matches the Rfam family "5.8S ribosomal RNA", at positions 35 to 154 of the family's 154-position model. The record is from RNAcentral.
GAUGAAGAACGCAGCGAAAUGCGAUAAGUAGUGUGAAUUGCAGAAUUCAGUGAAUCAUCGAAUCUUUGAACGCACAUUGCGCCCCCUGGUAUUCCGGGGGGCAUGCCUGUUCGAGCGUCAUUUCACCACUCAAGCCUCGCUUGGUAUUGGGCAACGCGGUCCGCCGCGUGCCUCAAAUCGACCGGCUGGGUCUCCUGUCCCCUAAGCGUUGUGGAAACUAUUCGCUAAAGGGUGUUCGGGAGGCUACGCCGUAAAACAACCCCAUUUCUAAGGUUGACCUCGGAUCAGGUAGGGAUACCCGCUGAACUUAAGCAUAUCAAUAAGCGGAGGA